GGCGUGCUUUAGGUAUGCAAGUCGAACGGUCCAUCCCUUUGCGAGUGCUUGCACUCAAAGAGGGGUUUAAUGGAUAGUGGCAAACGGGUGAGUAACGCGUGGGAAAUCUACCCCUUACAUGGGAAUAACCCAUCGAAAGAUGGGCUAAUACCCAAUGGUCUCGCUACCCGAAAUGGUAGUGAGUAAAGCUUUUGCGGUAGGGGAUGAGCCCGCGUCCUAUCAGCUUGUUGGUGAGGUAAUGGCUCACCAAGGCGGUGACGGGUAGCUGGUCUUAGCGGACGGUCAGCCACACUGGGACUGCGACACGGCCCAGACUCCUACGGGAGGCAGCAAUCAGGAAUCUUGCGCAAUGGACGAAAGUCUGACGCAGCGACGCCGCGUGAAGGAAGAAGGCCUUCGGGUUGUAAACUUCUGUGGCAGGGGAACAUAAUGAGGGUACCCUGCUAGAAAGCCACUGCUAACUACGUGCCAGCAGCCGCGGUAAUACGUAGGUGGCAAGCGUUAUCCGGAAUUACUGGGCGUAAAGAGUUGCGUAGGCGGCAUGGUAAGUUUUUAGUGAAAUCUCCCGGCUCAACUGGGAAAACGCUAAGAAUACUGCCAAGCUUUGAAUCAGGGAGGGGAAGGCGGAACUCUCGGUGUAGGGGUGAAAUCCGUUGAUAUCGAGAGGAACACCAAAGGCGAAGGCAGCCUUCUGGCUCUGUAUUGACGCUGAGGCACGAAAGCGUGGGGAGCGAAACGGAUUAGAUACCCGUGUAGUCCACGCUGUAAACGAUGGAUACUAGAUGUUCGGCCUCGCUUUGCGGGGUUGAGUGUCGAAGCUAACGCGUUAAGUAUCCCGCCUGGGGAGUACGACCGCAAGGUUGAAACUCAAAGGAAUUGACGGGGGACCGCACAAGCAGUGGAGCGCGUGGCUUAAUUCGAUAAUAACCGAAGAACCUUACCUGGGCUUGACAUGCUACUGCAAAUCUAUCGAAAGAUAGACUCCCUUGAGGGUGUAGCACAGGUGUUGCACGGCUGUCGUCAGCUCGUGUCGUGAGAUGUUAGGGUUAAGUCCCACAACGAGCGCAACCCCUGCGUCUUGUUGUAUCACUCAAGACGGACUGCCCCGGUAACGGGGAGGAAGGUGGGGACGACGUCUAGUCAGCGUGGCCCUUAUGCCCAGGGCGACACACGCACUACAAUGGUCAGGACAAAGGGUUGCAAUGAGGCGACUCGGAGCUAAUCCCAAAAACCUGGUCUCAGUUCGGAUUGCAGGCUGCAAUUCGCCUGCAUGAAGUUGGAAUUGCUAGUAAUCGCAGGUCAGCCAUACUGCGGUGAAUACGUUCUCGGUCCUUGUACACACCGCCCGUCAAGUAGGGAAAGUUGGGGGCACCCGAAGGUCGACGUUUGUCGGACGAAGGUGAAACCAAUGAUCAAUGCUAAGUCGUAACAAGGUA
RNAcentral lists this ribosomal RNA (1436 nucleotides) under metagenome. RNAcentral describes it as "bacterial SSU rRNA". It matches the Rfam family "Bacterial small subunit ribosomal RNA". The record is from RNAcentral.